This 221-nucleotide long non-coding RNA is filed under the name Bos indicus x Bos taurus (hybrid cattle). RNAcentral describes it as "lncRNA (ENSBIXG00000009812.1)". Lineage: Eukaryota; Metazoa; Chordata; Mammalia; Artiodactyla; Bovidae. The record is from RNAcentral.
CACUAACACUAGCAGGCUGGAGGAGAAUAGCUGUUUAGUUCCUCUUUGCUUCCUACCGUUGCAUGGUGAAGAAGCAAAUCUUUAUGAGGCCAUUCCAGGAUAAUUCAGGCACAAAAGACAUCUUAACAGCUUUAUUAUUUAGGAUCUGAUAAGGGAAAGACAAAAUCAAGAACUGUCAGGAAACAGAAGACAUUAAUUUAAAAAAAAAUGACGGAAACGUC